Molecule: long non-coding RNA, 4087 nt
Filed under: Ananas comosus (pineapple)
Lineage: Eukaryota; Viridiplantae; Streptophyta; Magnoliopsida; Poales; Bromeliaceae
Description: long non-coding RNA (ACOM_LNC037578)
Source: RNAcentral
AUUAAGUCUAUUUCUCCCCCACAAGUUCUUAUCCAACCCUUUCUCUUCUCUUCUAUUCUCUACUCUUCUCUCCUCUAUUUCUACCCUAAUCCCAAUCUCUAUCUCUCUACCUCAAUUCUCUAUCUCUAUCUCUACCCUUCCCUCACCUCUUACCUCAAAUUUCUCUUAAUUCUUAUCCCAAUUCGCUGAAUUGGCAGCCGUAGUAUACCCAUCAUCCCCGUCGCCAUACUAUCUCAGCAAAUUCUCUUCCUCGGUGGUUGCGACGAGUCCGGGAUACUACAAAUUGGUAUCAGAGCCGCACUAUCCCAGGGACCGUGGGCAGCGAAAAUUCAAUAGGAGCAAGGCCGUUGAAGGCUCUGCCGCUGUGAGGAAUUACUUCGAACAGUAGAGGCGCAACAGGUAACAUCAUCCGACUAGUAUAAUUAAGCAACAGAAGGCUCACACGAGGGUGUACCGAGGUAGUAGCAAGGACUAGUGCUGUUGAGUGGGAGAGCAUUUGUUCUAGAUGCAAAUCUCAACACUCAAUAUGUUGAGGCCAAGCGUGUUUCGGUUUUGCAGUAUUCCUUUCCAUCAUCCCAACGGUUGAGGAUUUUACAGAAACAAGAAGAAAAUGGGGACAGCCUUAUAUCUCAUUAGCUGGAUACUUUAGAAUUGUCUGGAUAAUAUACUACACCAGCCAGGUUUUUUUUUUUUUUCAAAUUGAACUAUAAUCAAGUACAAGAACUUCUGUCUUAUCAAUAACUAUCCCUUCCAUGACUCUCAAAGACACUUCAAAAAACAGUUUUUAAUACCAAGAAGUACCAUGGAGCUUAUUUUUACACAAAAGACAGUAAUUUUGGCAAAAAAUUUGCUCUCAAGAUCAAGCAGGUUAGACUUAAGAAAGAGAUUGUUUGGCCCUGCUGUAGUGUAUAGUGCUGUUUGAGUGAGAAUUUUAUGUCUAGAACUAUUAGGAGAAAGAAACUACAUUAAAAUUUUUCCAACAGAUUCUCUGCAGCAGAAUCAAGAAGGCACCAAAUUGAAGAUUCUUUUGAUACUCAGAAUCUCAUUUCUGCGAGGUGAUUAUCCGCUAUCGAAUCCAUAAUAGAAGGUGGGACUCUUCUCAUUGCAGCAAAAGCACCAGAUUUUUCUCUUUGCCAAACAUUGCACUAAAGAUUUCUACUGCUGAAAGCAAGAGUAGAAGCAAGGCCAAACAGACCCUAAGUUUUAUAGCAUUGCUAUUUAACUGGUCUGACAGGUUGCUUGCUCCUCGCUUAGUGAAUGUGAAAUCAUCUAGAAGUUACUUGCAACAAUUUUUUCUUGAAAGAGGAAAAAAAAAUAAAAAUCCUGUACCCUUGAUUCUAUUUAUAACAAGAAAAGGUGCAAUUUUUCACAAUAGGGAUUUCUAGAAUUGAAAUAGAAGUUCAUGAAGCAUGUUUUUGCAAACAAAUUCAGUUUUACUCCAACCUAAAACAGAAAUGUUUGUACAAAUAUCGUCCCAUAUAUCGUCCCAUAAAAUGUAUGGAUUAACUUUUCCCUAUUUUAAGGACGUGUUAUUCAUUAAGUGAAUGAAAAUAAAUUACCUACCGUGUUCUCUUAUUUCUACAAUGAUCAGCAUUGAAGGCAAAACAAAGCAAAGCACAAAAUUCAUUUCUUCAGAUAAAAGGCUGCCAAACUGGUUUAAAUGUUAGUUCUAGGAGCUUCUUUAUUCUCUAACUAAAUUUGUUGAUAAAGCUUUCAAAUCUUCAGAUAAUAAAAUGCACCAUAAUUAUUUACUUAUAUUUUUAUCUUAAAAAUGAUUAAAAAUAGAGUUAUUAGAUAUUUUACACUGAUAUAUAUUUUUGAGCUAUAUAUUUUUAGGGUUUCUUUUGCAUUUGGCCCCCUCAAAAAAUUUUAUUUCAAAAAUAGCCCCACUAAAUUUAUAAUUGCAAUUUUGGCCCUGUCCCUGCCACGCAGGCGCUGUCAACGCCACGCAAGCGGAGAUGGGGCCAGGAUGUUUGGACACGAUGAACCAUUCACGGUGAACCAUUCACCAUGUUUGGACUCGGCUGAUCUGAUCCCUCAUUAGCCGAAUUGCUUGAUCCGUUGGAGGGCGCAAAAUUCGAGGGUCACUACUUGAAGCCAUACUUAAUCCCUGCAUGUUUCUCUAGGGAGACCUUUGACCAGGUAAAGGGUUGAGAAAUUCGGCUCCUAGCAGUUUGUAUUAUAUUAUAUGAUGCAUUGACGGGAGACAAUAAAUAUAUAAAUGAUCACAAUUGUCCAUUUUUAUUAAAAAUGGAAAUCAGUAAAAGUCUAAUUAAUCAUACGUGUCUACUCCUAUUUAAGAUAAAAAAAUAUCAAUUAAUUAACAUCUAUAAAUUCUCAUGAUUAAAAUCUUAUGUGGCACCAUCUCCUUAAUAUAGGGAAAAGGGGCCCACUAUGUUUUUUUUUCUUCCUUUCCAUCCUCUCUUUGCAUAAUAAUAUUUUUUUUUAUUUAUUAAUAUAUAUAAAUUCUCAUUAUUAAAAUAUUACGUGGCACCAUCUCCUUAAUAUUGGGGAAAAGGGGGCUCCUCAUGUUUUUUUUCCUCCUUUCCAUCCUCUCUUUGCAUUCUGUUUUUUUUUUUUUCAUCCCGUCUCUUUGUAUUCUAUAAUCCUUACACCCACCUAAUGAGAUUCAAAGUCAUUAUCUCUAGCACUCUGUUACUCUCUUCUUCACCGCUUUCUGUCUUUCCAUCUUUCGAAGUUUCGAUAACCUAAACUCCCUACUGCAUCUCUAAAAGCCCUUUCUCAAUAAAUUUCUCUAUUUAGAGGUUGAUCUUUUUUCUAAUUUAGAAAUAAUGCAUAGUAGUGAUCAUGACGACGACAACAGAUUUUUAAUUGACUAUUACAGUUUGAUGCUCUUUUGACAUGGUAUAAUUACUAUACCAUUUAUAUUUGACAAUUUUAUUAUGAAAGCUUAGAAAAGCAAAGUUUUUCGUGUCAUGCAAUUUGUUUAAACACGGUUGAUUAUUUUUAAAUUAUUAAAUUUUUAAUCGUAAUAUAACCUUUUUUAUUUAAAUUUUUUUAUUUAUAAUAUAAUUUUUAUAUGCUACUUUUAAAUUUUAUUAAUAUUUUAUUUUUAUAAUUUUUUUAAUAAUUUUUAUUCGUCAUAAUGGGCGGGUCACCACCCUAAGAAUUUAUAGGGUUAAUUGCAUACACAUCUCUGCAAAUAAGGUGAAUUGUAGAUAUAGUCUUGCAAAGCUCAACUUUCAUAAGUUGUCCUCGCAAAAGUCCUAAUGUAUUCAGAUAUGUCCCUCUGGUUAGGAUCCGUUAGAAAACUGUUAAUUUUUUAACAGUAUGCUUGUGAAAUGACAAUUUUGCCCUCACAAAUAUGUCCCUCCAAAAGCACAUUUGCAGAAAUGUCCUCACCCUCAUCCUCUUUCUCUUCCUCUUCGGGCGGCGGGAGCAGACGGCGGCGGCGGCGGAUCAUUGACGAUGACGACAAAGAAGAAGAAGAAGAAGGAGAAGAGAAGGAUACAAAAAAGAAGAAGGAGGCGGCGAAGGCCGUUGUUAGCUGGCGGCGCCGCUGGGGAUGGCCCGCGGGAGCACUACUCCAUCUCCCACGAGGAGGAGGUCGGCGUAGACGGCGAGCUGCUUGAGGGCAUCGGAGGCGAGCCUCGAGACCUGCGACCCCGGCGGCCGCCGCUACAGCACGAUCUCGCUGCUGCGACACAGGCCCCUUCCCGGCGACGGGCGGUCUUGCUCCCUCGCCCGCCUCUGCUAUAGUGUCUCGGGGGCUUUGUAUCGGAUUGGCUACAGUAUUAGCGACUGGUCCACACGUCUGGAGAGUGUCGGACUGAAUCGGAGUCCUUUUUGCAAAAAAUUGAUGUAGAAACGGACUUGGCACACUCAAAUAAGAAAAAUUAGAGUUUUGCCAGUUUCGGGCACUCGAAACAUGGUUUAGGUCGCCCGGAUCUUAAGUGCUGAACUGAACUGAAACUGGAAGCCAAUUCGGAUCUUGUGUUUUGGGCACCCGGAAGUGUGCCCGAAUGUUCACCUCAUGAUUAACGUUUACUUUGACACAUGUAUGUUGGUAGGUGGGGACCACCGAACCAGGUUAAGGGCACAGCAUACCGUAGGGGGAGGAACCAAG